GCAAGGAAAAUUUCACCACAGGUCCAUUAAAAUCAGUUUUUAACCACUGUGUCUUCUGCAACUUUAGCAUUCUUCCAAGAAAUGCACAGCUCUUGGCAAGCGCUGCCAAAACAGAGAUCUGGGGCUCAGUAUCCUCAGCAAGCAGCCCAAGACAAGUUCUUUCCAGAAGAUGCAGGCCUUACCCAUCUUGUGGUUUGACCCAUCCUGCGUUUCACCGUAGGCAACACCAAACUGGUGGAGAAAAAUGAAGAUUCAGAAGGCCAGAUACACAGUCGAGAGCAUCCUACCUCAACGGAUCGCAGACUGGGAUGGAAACAGCAAUGCCCAGGAAUGGAAAAGCCUCCAGAAGUUGGUGGAUGCAGCCCAAUCCAGCACAGGCAAAGCCUUUCCCACCAUUGGGCACAUUUACAAGGAGUACUGCCACAGGAAAGCAGCAGCCAGCAUCAAGUUCUGGCACCAUCCAGGUCACGCUCACUUCUCACUACUACCAUUGUGACGAAGGUGCAGAAAACUUGGUUCAGGAACAGUUACUACACCACACCCAUCGGACUCCUGAACCAAUGUGGAUAAUUUCACUCACCUCAGUCAGAACUGAUUCCUUAACCUGCAGACUUCCUUUCAGAGACUCUACACUCAUGUUCGCAGUAUUAUGAUGUUCUUUAUUUGCAAAAUUUGUUCUCUUCUGCUCUUUGGUUGUUUAUCAGUCUUAGUUUAUUAUUAGUUUUUCACUAAUUCUAUUGUAUUUCUCUAUUCCUGUAAAU
Long non-coding RNA from Mobula hypostoma (lesser devil ray), 761 nucleotides. RefSeq lists it as uncharacterized. The transcript is spliced from 3 exons. The record is from RefSeq and is a predicted model, not a curated record. NCBI's taxonomy places the organism in Eukaryota, Metazoa, Chordata, Chondrichthyes, Myliobatiformes, Myliobatidae.